Small nuclear RNA from Oryctolagus cuniculus (rabbit), 142 nucleotides. Its record names the gene U2. It matches the Rfam family "U2 spliceosomal RNA". From Rfam's summary of the family: U2 is a small nuclear RNA (snRNA) component of the spliceosome (involved in pre-mRNA splicing). Complementary binding between U2 snRNA (in an area lying towards the 5' end but 3' to hairpin I) and the branchpoint sequence (BPS) of the intron results the bulging out of an unpaired adenosine, on the BPS, which initiates a nucleophilic attack at the intronic 5' splice site, thus starting the first of two transesterification reactions that mediate splicing. NCBI's taxonomy places the organism in Eukaryota, Metazoa, Chordata, Mammalia, Lagomorpha, Leporidae. The record is from Ensembl.
AUUGCUUCUUGGCCUUUUGGCUAAGAUCAAGUGUAGUAUCUCAUGAUUCUCUGAUACUUAUUCCAAGCUCUGCAACAACGCACAGCCUUCUGGUGGUAUUUUGCCUCAAUAAAGUGGGCGUAUGGUGUUCAGGAUCCAUAUA